This 339-nucleotide unclassified non-coding RNA is filed under the name soil metagenome. Its description in RNAcentral is "partial contains 5.8S ribosomal RNA, internal transcribed spacer 2, and large subunit ribosomal RNA". The stretch from base 1 to 120 matches the Rfam family "5.8S ribosomal RNA", at positions 35 to 154 of the family's 154-position model. The record is from RNAcentral.
GAUGAAGAACGUAGCGAAAUGCGAUAACUAAUGUGAAAUGCAGAAUUCAGUGAAUCAUCGAGUCUUUGAACGCACAUUGCGCCCCCUGGUAUUCCGGGGGGCAUGCCUGUCCGAGCGUCAUUGCUGCCCUCAAGCACGGCUUGUGUGUUGGGCUCCGUCCCCCCGGGGACGGGCCCGAAAGGCAGCGGCGGCACCGAGUCCGGUCCUCGAGCGUAUGGGGCUUUGUCACCCGCUCUGUAGGCCCGGCCGGCGCCAGCCGACAACCCAUCAUCCUUUUCAGGUUGACCUCGGAUCAGGUAGGGAUACCCGCUGAACUUAAGCAUAUCAAUAAGCGGAGGA